AUUUGGACAUGGGGGAAACCCUGAUCCAGCCAUCCCGCGUGUAUGAUGAAGGCCUUCGGGUUGUACAAGUACUUUUGGCAGAGAAGAAAAGGUAUCUCCUAAUACGAGGUACUGCUGACGGUAUCUGCAGAAUAAGCACCGGCUAACUACGUGCCAGCAGCCGCGGUAAUACGUAGGGUGCAAGCGUUAAUCGGAAUUACUGGGCGUAAAGCGUGUGUAGGCGGUUCGGAAAGAAAGAUGUGAAAUCCCAGGGCUCAACCUUGGAACUGCAUAUUUUAACUGCCGAGCUAGAGUAUGUCAGAGGGGGGUAGAAUUCCACGUGUAGCAGUGAAAUGCGUAGAUAUGUGGAGGAAUACCGAUGGCGAAGGCAGCCCCCUGGGAUAAUACUGACGCUCAGACACGAAAGCGUGGGGAGCAAACAGGAUUAGAUACCCUGGUAGUCCACGCCCUAAACGAUGUCAACUAGCUGUANGGGGCCGUUAGGCCUUAGUAGCGCAGCUAACGCGUGAAGUNGACCGCCUGGGGAGUACNGUCGCAAGAUNANNACUCAAAGGA
Molecule: ribosomal RNA, 555 nt
Filed under: bacterium T-2-48-9H
Lineage: Bacteria
Description: bacterial SSU rRNA
Rfam family: Bacterial small subunit ribosomal RNA
Source: RNAcentral